This is a long non-coding RNA of Homo sapiens (human), 742 nucleotides long. Ensembl annotates it as long intergenic non-protein coding RNA 701. NCBI's taxonomy places the organism in Eukaryota, Metazoa, Chordata, Mammalia, Primates, Hominidae. The record is from Ensembl.
GAGGAGACGCACAGCAUGCCGGGAAUGAGCAGGCCCCUGUUCUUCGGAACAAACCAUCUGGAGAAAGAGCUGGAAUGGAGCCCAUCAGUGGUGCUUCACUGCUUCAGGAAGAUGCAUGGCUCAGCAGGACACACAGGGCUCAGCAGGUCACAGCCAUAGGUAAGCAACCAAAGCACCCUAGACCCCACCACCUCUUUGAAUAAAAUUACCCAGUCAUGCCAGGCUUCUCACCUUUCCCAGAAGGAGUAGUACUUCACACACACACACACACACACACACACAUGCACGUGUACACACAUAUAUACAAACACAUUCAGACACAUACGCAUGCACAUACACAACACACACAUGCACGCUACACAUACACAUACAUACACACAUAUACAGAUACACACAUACACACACGCACAUACACACACACUACACAUACGCACACACACACACAUAUAUGCAUGCGUGCAUCCCUCUUUCUGUGGCAUCCCUGACUUUUUGGAGAUUGAGUCAUUUAAUUAUUUGUUUAAAUGGCUUUGUAAAUGUUCUAAUGUCCAGAAUAUUUGCUAGACAAUAACAACGUUUUCCAUGGUUUAUUAAGUAAAUAAUUGUCCUAAUAGAAAUAUAAAUUGUUACAGAAGUGCAUAAAAUGAAAUUAUUUUUCCAAAUGGAGUUAAAUAAGAGUAUAUUGAAGGAAUUAUAUAUAUUAACCUUGUCUUCAAAAAUGAGUAGAUUCUCACGGGCAAAGACG